RNAcentral lists this transfer RNA (73 nucleotides) under Candidatus Pacearchaeota archaeon ex4484_71. Its description in RNAcentral is "tRNA-Val". It matches the Rfam family "tRNA". From Rfam's summary of the family: Transfer RNA (tRNA) molecules are approximately 80 nucleotides in length. Their secondary structure includes four short double-helical elements and three loops (D, anti-codon, and T loops). The record is from RNAcentral. RNAcentral also lists the same sequence under 1 other name. Lineage: Archaea; Nanobdellati.
GGGCCCGUGGUCUAGUGGUUAUGACGUUUCGUUUACACCGAAAAGAUCGAAGGUUCGAUUCCUUCCGGGCCCA